Molecule: unclassified non-coding RNA, 738 nt
Filed under: Bradyrhizobium sp. 12a/Yakouta1S2/INERA76/STM10214
Lineage: Bacteria; Pseudomonadati; Pseudomonadota; Alphaproteobacteria; Hyphomicrobiales; Nitrobacteraceae
Description: partial 16S-23S ribosomal RNA intergenic space
Rfam family: Bacterial large subunit ribosomal RNA (bases 611-738)
Source: RNAcentral
CGGAGUUCAGUCUUCCCAGGCCCACCACGCUUCGCCGUCGGCUUCGCAUGGCACCGCCAGGCAGAACGACGAGGCGAAGCGCGUCCGGCAUAGCCCGAAGGGCGACGCCGGACAGAAAGAGCGCUUCGUCUUCUGGUUACGGGGCCAUAGCUCAGCUGGGAGAGCGCGUGCUUUGCAAGCAUGAGGUCGUCGGUUCGAUCCCGUCUGGCUCCACCAGAUGGUUUGAUCACCGAGAUCUUGACCGUCGUCCGCGAAACAUCACUUCGCAUCCUGCUAGUCUGGAUAGACAGCAAGUUGCGUGUUUUCUGACAUCGUAAAGAGGAGAUCGAUCCGAGUUGGAUCGUGCAACAUAUCGUUGCGCGAGCCUUCAUUAUCUCCGGAUCAUUUCGGCGCUCGCUUCCAGCCGUGAGGUUGGAUGCGGGUUGUAAAUGAUCCUUUUAGCGAAGCUUGACCGCCUCGCUAUCGGAACGAUCUUACGAAGCAAGCUGGUCUUUCUAGUCAAUGUCCGGCUGUACGUAGCAUUCAUCGAGGGUGCGCGCCCGAGAUUUCGGUCUCUUGGCAAUCGUACAGACAACAUUCUGCCGAGUGUGUGGACAUUGAUAAUGAGAGCAAUCAAGUGCCUUAAGGGUGUUCGGUGGAUGCCUUGGCGCUGAGAGGCGAUGAAGGACGUGCUACGCUGCGAUAAGCCGUGGGGAGCUGCGAAGAAGCUUUGAUCCGCGGAUUUCCGAAUGGGGAAAA